UACGGAGGAUCCAAGCGUUACCCGGAAUUACUGGGCGUAAAGAGUUGCGUAGGUGGUUCGUUAAGUUUUUGCUUAAAGCUCAAAGCUCAACUUUGAAAUUGGCAGAAAAACUGGCGAACUUGAGGUUAACAGAGGCGAGUGGAAUUUUCGGUGUAGGAGUGAAAUCCGUAGAUACCGAGAGGAACACCAAUGGCGUAGGCAGCUCGCUGGGUUACACCUGACACUAAGGCACGAAAGCGUGGGGAGCGAACCGG
RNAcentral lists this ribosomal RNA (254 nucleotides) under uncultured bacterium. RNAcentral describes it as "partial 16S ribosomal RNA". It matches the Rfam family "Bacterial small subunit ribosomal RNA", at positions 524 to 776 of the family's 1533-position model. The record is from RNAcentral.